UUUUCAAACUUCUGUUAAUACUUUUACACUAAGAGAUUUGGGGUUCGAGUUCCAGCUAUUGCGAUUUAUUAGCAGAUUUGCAAAUUAAUGGAAGCAAAUAUGCAAGAGAUCUACAACGAAGAACAAUUAUAGUUGUUCGCCAAGAUUCUACGCAGAGAAGAUAUUGAAGGUGUCUAUUAAGCGCAUGGAGAAGGAGAAGAAGAUGUCGUCUGUCGUGGAUCUAAUAAGGGUCGAAAGGAAUUGUCCGUAAGGGAAUCGUCUAUAUAACAGUUCUCAUAAUUUAUAAUAAAUAAUAAAUUUAGACGGAAAAUUUUCUUUGGCUACGAUGCCACGUUUCUGGAAGGCAUUGCCGUUAAUUUUGUCUGAAUUAGUUGAUAAAGCAAUUA
RNAcentral lists this small RNA (386 nucleotides) under Arabidopsis thaliana (thale cress). Its description in RNAcentral is "ATSL171860". Lineage: Eukaryota; Viridiplantae; Streptophyta; Magnoliopsida; Brassicales; Brassicaceae. The record is from RNAcentral.